Paramuricea clavata is the source of this 86-nucleotide non-coding RNA. The record is from the annotation of a GenBank genome assembly. Lineage: Eukaryota; Metazoa; Cnidaria; Anthozoa; Malacalcyonacea; Plexauridae.
CCCCUUUCUUAUAGUCCAAUCAGAGGCUUUGUUUACAAAUGUAAACAAAUGUAAACAAAUCCUUUGAUUGGACUAUAAGAAAGGGG